CAGGCACCCAGCCAGGGAGGUGCUGUUGUUGACCCUGAGGGAAGCCUUACAACACACAGAGCUGUAAUUAAGCUGUUUCUCUUAGAAAACAUGAAGCAACAUGGGCGAGGAAGUUGGCUAACAAUCAUCAUGAACAGAUGAUUCACGUGAAGAAGCAGAAAUUAUGUACUGACAAAUUAUCCAAGGUUCCAAAGGUCCUGUGAACCAAGCAGACAAAGCAAAGAGAUUUCUUCUUCCCCUCCUGACCCG
This 249-nucleotide long non-coding RNA is filed under the name Junco hyemalis (dark-eyed junco). RNAcentral describes it as "lncRNA (ENSJHYG00000016577.1)". Lineage: Eukaryota; Metazoa; Chordata; Aves; Passeriformes; Passerellidae. The record is from RNAcentral.